Molecule: long non-coding RNA, 437 nt
Filed under: Brachypodium distachyon (stiff brome)
Lineage: Eukaryota; Viridiplantae; Streptophyta; Magnoliopsida; Poales; Poaceae
Description: long non-coding RNA (BDIS_LNC002762)
Source: RNAcentral
GCGGUUCGACGGCCUAUACCUUUAGAGGGAUCAUUCCCGGCCCAAGUAGUUCAACGGUCACGUCUUCUCAUCUUUUUGGAUGAGCGACUCAAGGGGCUUUUUAAAACCUUUGAAGGUAGUUAAGUUCGUGAAGGAAUACGAGUGGAUACGUUGCUGCUGUAGUCUGAUUGUAGUCUUUGUGUUAAAGCCAUAACGGUGUUUCAUAUUGCAAAAAAUUAUACCACGAAGAAGAUAUCUUUUAGGAAUUACCUUGUAAUUUCAUUGUAAUUCUUAAUCACAGGAAUUACCUUGUAAUCUCUAGGAUUUAUCGUCAUUGUAUCUGUAAUGAUUCUCGUGUUUGAAUAAAGUUACAAUUCAUUUUAAAAAGAAGAGCCGUAGGACCAUGUCUUCUCAAAAAUAAAAAAAAUGUAAGACCCCGAUUGAAUCGUAGGCCCGCA